Molecule: ribosomal RNA, 497 nt
Filed under: uncultured bacterium
Lineage: Bacteria
Description: partial 16S ribosomal RNA
Rfam family: Bacterial small subunit ribosomal RNA
Source: RNAcentral
GAUGAACGCUGGCGGCGUGCCUAAUACAUGCAAGUCGAGCGAACAGACGCGGAGCUUGCUCCUCUGACGUUAGCGGCGGACGGGUGAGUAACACGUGGAUAACCUACCUAUACGACUGGGAUAACUUCGGGAAACCGGAGCUAAUACCGGCUAAUAUCUUGAACCGCAUUGUUCAAUAGUGAAAGACGGUUUUGCUGUCUCUUAUAGAUGGAUCCGCGCCGCAUUAGCUAGUUGGUAAGGUAACGGCUUACCAAGGCAACGAUGCGUAGCCGACCUGAGAGGGUGAUCGGCCACACUGGAACUGAGACACGGUCCAGACUCCUACGGGAGGCAGCAGUAGGGAAUCUUCCGCAAUGGGCGAAAGCUUGACGGAGCAACGCCGCGUGAGUGAUGAAGGUCUUCGGAUCGUAAAACUCUGUUAUUAGGGAAGAACAAAUGUGUAAGUAACUAUGCACGUCUUGACGGUACCUAAUCAGAAAGCCACGGCUAACUACGUG